This 497-nucleotide ribosomal RNA is filed under the name uncultured bacterium. RNAcentral describes it as "partial 16S ribosomal RNA". It matches the Rfam family "Bacterial small subunit ribosomal RNA", at positions 28 to 507 of the family's 1533-position model. The record is from RNAcentral.
GACGAACGCUGGCGGCGUGCCUAAUACAUGCAAGUUGAGCGCUGAAGGUUGGUACUUGUACCGACUGGAUGAGCAGCGAACGGGUGAGUAACGCGUGGGUAAUCUGCCUUUGAGCGGGGGACAACAUUUGGAAACGAAUGCUAAUACCGCAUAAAAACUUUAAACACAAGUUUUAAGUUUGAAAGAUGCAAUUGCAUCACUCAAAGAUGAUCCCGCGUUGUAUUAGCUAGUUGGUGAGGUAAAGGCUCACCAAGGCGAUGAUACAUAGCCGACCUGAGAGGGGGAUCGGCCACAUUGGGACUGAGACACGGCCCAAACUACUACGGGAGGCAGCAGUAGGGAAUCUUCGGCAAUGGACGAAAGUCUGACCGAGCAACGCCGCGUGAGUGAAGAAGGGUUUCGGAUCGUAAAACUCGGUUGGUAGAGAAGAACGUUGGUGAGAGUGGAAAGCUCAUCAAGUGACGGUAACUACCCAGAAAGGGACGGCUAACUACGUG